GACGAACGCUGGCGGCGUGCUUAACACAUGCAAGUCGAACGGUGAAGCGCCUUCCUUUUUGGUGGGUGUGGAUGAGUGGCGAACGGGUGGGUAACACGUGAGUAACCUGCCCCCUUCUUCUGGAUAACCGCAUGAAAGUGUGGCUAAUACGGGAUAUUCUGGGUCUGUCGCAUGAUGGGUCUGGGAAAGAUAUUGUUUCGGUGGGGGAUGGGCUCGCGGCCUAUCAGCUUGUUGGUGGGGUGAUGGCCUACCAAGGCGGUGACGGGUAGCCGGCCUGAGAGGGUGGACGGUCACACUGGGACUGAGACACGGCCCAGACUCCUACGGGAGGCAGCAGUGGGGAAUAUUGCACAAUGGGCGCAAGCCUGAUGCAGCGACGCCGCGUGAGGGGUGGAGGCCUUCGGGUUGUGAACCUCUUUCGCCAGUGAAGCAGGCCUGCCUCGUUUGUGGGUGGGUUGACGGUAGCUGGAUAAGAAGCGCCGGCUAACUACGUG
This 494-nucleotide ribosomal RNA is filed under the name uncultured bacterium. Its description in RNAcentral is "partial 16S ribosomal RNA". It matches the Rfam family "Bacterial small subunit ribosomal RNA", at positions 28 to 507 of the family's 1533-position model. The record is from RNAcentral.